RNAcentral lists this ribosomal RNA (492 nucleotides) under uncultured bacterium. RNAcentral's name for it is "partial 16S ribosomal RNA". It matches the Rfam family "Bacterial small subunit ribosomal RNA", at positions 29 to 507 of the family's 1533-position model. The record is from RNAcentral.
AGUGAACGCUGGCGGUAGGCCUAACACAUGCAAGUCGAACGGCAGCACAGUAAGAGCUUGCUCUUACGGGUGGCGAGUGGCGGACGGGUGAGGAAUACAUCGGAAUCUACUUUUUCGUGGGGGAUAACGUAGGGAAACUUACGCUAAUACCGCAUACGACCUACGGGUGAAAGCAGGGGAUCUUCGGACCUUGCGCGAUUGAAUGAGCCGAUGUCGGAUUAGCUAGUUGGCGGGGUAAAGGCCCACCAAGGCGACGAUCCGUAGCUGGUCUGAGAGGAUGAUCAGCCACACUGGAGCUGAGACACGGUCCAGACUCCUACGAGAGGCAGCAGUGGGGAAUAUUGGACAAUGGGCGCAAGCCUGAUCCAGCCAUACCGCGUGGGUGAAGAAGGCCUUCGGGUUGUAAAGCCCUUUUGUUGGGAAAGAAAAGCAGCAGGUUAAUACCCCGCUGUUCUGACGGUACCCAAAGAAUAAGCACCGGCUAACUUCGUG